GGGGAUUUAGCUCAGUGGUAGAGCGCUUGCCUAGCAAGCGCAAGGCCCUGGGUUCGCUUCCCAGCUCCG
Molecule: non-coding RNA, 69 nt
Organism: Rattus norvegicus (Norway rat)
Lineage: Eukaryota; Metazoa; Chordata; Mammalia; Rodentia; Muridae
Source: Rfam